GGUGCAGUGGUCUAAGACACUGCAUUGCAGAGCAAGAGGUGUCACUACAGUCCCUGGUUCGAAUCCAGGCUGUAUCA
This 77-nucleotide transfer RNA is filed under the name Salmo salar (Atlantic salmon). It matches the Rfam family "tRNA". From Rfam's summary of the family: Transfer RNA (tRNA) molecules are approximately 80 nucleotides in length. Their secondary structure includes four short double-helical elements and three loops (D, anti-codon, and T loops). Further hydrogen bonds mediate the characteristic L-shaped molecular structure. tRNAs have two regions of fundamental functional importance: the anti-codon, which is responsible for specific mRNA codon recognition, and the 3' end, to which the tRNAs corresponding amino acid is attached (by aminoacyl-tRNA synthetases). tRNAs cope with the degeneracy of the genetic code in two manners: having more than one tRNA (with a specific anti-codon) for a particular amino acid; and 'wobble' base-pairing, i.e. permitting non-standard base-pairing at the 3rd anti-codon position. The record is from Rfam by way of RNAcentral. Lineage: Eukaryota; Metazoa; Chordata; Actinopteri; Salmoniformes; Salmonidae.